GGUGAGUAACACGUGGGAACAUACCUUGAAGUGGGGGACAACAGUUGGAAACGACUGCUAAUACCGCAUAAUCCCUGAGGGGGAAAGAUUUAUCGCUUUAAGAUUGGCCCGCGGAAGAUUAGGUAGUUGGUGGGGUAAAGGCCUACCAAGCCGACGAUCUAUAGCUGGUCUGAGAGGACGAACAGCCACAUUGGAACUGAGACACGGUCCAGACUCCUACGGGAGGCAGCAGUGAGGAAUAUUGGGCAAUGGAGGAAACUCUGACCCAGCCAUGCCGCGUGAGUGAAGAAGGUUUUCGAAUUGUAAAGCUCUUUCGGAUGGGACGAUGAUGACGGUACCAUCUAAAGAAGCCCCGGCAAACUUCGUGCCAGCAGCCGCGGAAAUACGAAGGGGGCAAGCGUUGUUCGGAAUUACUGGGCGUAAAGGGUGUGUAGGCGGAUUUGUAAGAUAGUGGUGAAAUACCUGAGCUCAACUUAGGAAUUGCCAUUAUAACUAUAGAUCUGGAGUGACAGAGAGGAUAUUGGAAUACCCAGUGUAGAGGUGAAAUUCGUAGAUAUUGGGUAGAACACCAGUGG
RNAcentral lists this ribosomal RNA (575 nucleotides) under uncultured bacterium. RNAcentral describes it as "bacterial SSU rRNA". It matches the Rfam family "Bacterial small subunit ribosomal RNA", at positions 105 to 715 of the family's 1533-position model. The record is from RNAcentral.